Molecule: ribosomal RNA, 950 nt
Filed under: Mycobacteroides abscessus
Lineage: Bacteria; Bacillati; Actinomycetota; Actinomycetes; Mycobacteriales; Mycobacteriaceae
Description: partial 16S ribosomal RNA
Rfam family: Bacterial small subunit ribosomal RNA
Source: RNAcentral
GGACCGNCCANCUACGUGNCAGNNGCCNNNGUAAUACGUAGGNUCNNAGCGUUNUCNNGAAUUACUGGGCGUAAAGAGNUNGUAGGUNGUUUGUCGCGUNNUUCGUGAAAACUCACAGNUUAACUGUGGGCGUGCGGGCGAUACGGGCAGACUAGAGUACUGCAGGGGAGACUGGAAUUCCUGGUGUAGCGGUGGAAUGCGCAGAUAUCAGGAGGAACACCGGUGGCGAAGGNNNNUCUNUGGGCAGUAACUGACGNUGAGGAGNGAAAGCGUGGGUAGCGAACAGGAUUAGAUACCCUGGUAGUCCACGCCGUAAACGGUGGGUACUAGGUGUGGGUUUCCUUCCUUGGGAUCCGUGCCGUAGCUAACGCAUUAAGUACCCCGCNUGGGGAGUACGGUCGCAAGACUAAAACUCAAAGGAAUUGACGGGGGCCCGCACAAGCGGCGGAGCAUGUGGAUUAAUUCGAUGCAACGCGAAGAACCUUACCUGGGUUUGACAUGCACAGGACGUACCUAGAGAUAGGUAUUCCCUUGUGGCCUGUGUGCAGGUGGUGCAUGGCUGUCGUCAGCUNNNNUNGUGAGAUGUUGGGUUAAGUCCCGCAACGAGCGCAACCCUUGUCCUAUGUUGCCAGCGGGUAAUGCCGGGGACUCGUAGGAGACUGCCGGGGUCAACUCGGAGGAAGGUGGGGAUGACGUCAAGUCAUCAUGCCCCUUAUGUCCAGGGCUUCACACAUGNUACAAUGGCCAGUACAGAGGGCUGCGAAGCCGUAAGGUGGAGCGAAUCCCUUAAAGCUGGUCUCAGUUCGGAUUGGGGUCUGCAACUCGACCCCAUGAAGUNGGAGUCGCUAGUAAUCGCAGAUCAGCAACGCUGCGGUGAAUACGUUCCCGGGCCUUGUACACACCGCCCGUCACCGUCAUGAAAGUCGNNNACACCCGAAGCCAGNGGCCUA